Molecule: ribosomal RNA, 896 nt
Filed under: Wolbachia endosymbiont of Ectropis obliqua
Lineage: Bacteria; Pseudomonadati; Pseudomonadota; Alphaproteobacteria; Rickettsiales; Anaplasmataceae
Description: bacterial SSU rRNA
Rfam family: Bacterial small subunit ribosomal RNA
Source: RNAcentral
UUGUAGCCUGCUAUGGUAUAACUUAGUGGCAGACGGGUGAGUAAUGUAUAGGAAUCUACCUAGUAGUACGGAAUAAUUGUUGGAAACGGCAACUAAUACCGUAUACGCCCUACGGGGGAAAAAUUUAUUGCUAUUAGAUGAGCCUAUAUUAGAUUAGCUAGUUGGUGGAGUAAUAGCCUACCAAGGCAAUGAUCUAUAGCUGAUCUGAGAGGAUGAUCAGCCACACUGGAACUGAGAUACGGUCCAGACUCCUACGGGAGGCAGCAGUGGGGAAUAUUGGACAAUGGGCGAAAGCCUGAUCCAGCCAUGCCGCAUGAGUGAAGAAGGCCUUUGGGUUGUAAAGCUCUUUUAGUGAGGAAGAUAAUGACGGUACUCACAGAAGAAGUCCUGGCUAACUCCGUGCCAGCAGCCGCGGUAAUACGGAGAGGGCUAGCGUUAUUCGGAAUUAUUGGGCGUAAAGGGCGCGUAGGCUGGUUAAUAAGUUAAAAGUGAAAUCCCGAGGCUUAACCUUGGAAUUGCUUUUAAAACUAUUAACCUAGAGAUUGAAAGAGGAUAGAGGAAUUCCUGAUGUAGAGGUAAAAUUCGUAAAUAUUAGGAGGAACACCAGUGGCGAAGGCGUCUAUCUGGUUCAAAUCUGACGCUGAAGCGCGAAGGCGUGGGGAGCAAACAGGAUUAGAUACCCUGGUAGUCCACGCUGUAAACGAUGAAUGUUAAAUAUGGGAAGUUUACUUUCUGUAUUACAGCUAACGCGUUAAACAUUCCGCCUGGGGACUACGGUCGCAAGAUUAAAACUCAAAGGAAUUGACGGGGACCCGCACAAGCGGUGGAGCAUGUGGUUUAAUUCGAUGCAACGCGAAAAACCUUACCACUUCUUGACAUGAAAAUCAUACCUAUUC